UAAAAAAUUUUGGCGGUAUUUUAAGCUUAUUAGAGGAAUUUGCUCUGUGAUGGACACAACGCCUUAAUCUUACUUAAUUUAGUAAUUUAAAUCAGUUUGUAUACCACUAUAUUAAUUAUAUUGAAUAGUUAUAUUUAAAAUUUUUUUUUUAAAAAAUAUAUUAAGUCAAGGUGCAUCUAAUAAUUAUGAAUGAAGUGAAUUACAUUAAUUUUAAUGUAAUUUUUUACAUGAAAAAAUUAAUUAGGAUUUAAUAGUAAAAUACUAAUAUUAUGAGUAUUUGAAUCAAGCUCUAAAAUAUGCACAUAUCGCCCGUCGCUCUCAGAAGUGAGAUAAGUCGUAACAAAGUAAAAAUACUGGAAAGUGUUUUUUAAAAUGAAAUCAUUUGAUGUUUCAUUUACAAUGAAAAUUUUGUUGUUUAACCAUUUUAA
RNAcentral lists this ribosomal RNA (428 nucleotides) under Ixodes scapularis (black-legged tick). RNAcentral describes it as "partial 12S ribosomal RNA". Lineage: Eukaryota; Metazoa; Arthropoda; Arachnida; Ixodida; Ixodidae. The record is from RNAcentral.